UGAGUGAGUCAGCCAAUAAUUUGUCUUUGAGACUUUCUUGAGUAACCUGGUGAUUUUUGUGUUUUUCUAAGAACACUUAUUGGAGUGUGGAACUCGCCUUUUGCUGGAGCUUAAGGACUCGUGUAUUUGGAUUCCUCUCCUGGAAACUCUCACCUGGAAACCAACCAUCCUCCGUCCUGUCUCUCUCUCUCUCUCUCUCUGUCUCUCUGUCUCUCUCUCUCUCGGACCUGGAACACCAACGGACACCGAAACCUGGAACACUUACCUCCUGGAUUUCCCUUGCCUCCUCCUCCGAGCUGACCUCCCUCCCAGGAGCCUGACGAACCCACUGUUUUGCAUUCACUGUAAAUAAACAUCAUUUAACUUUU
Molecule: long non-coding RNA, 368 nt
Organism: Girardinichthys multiradiatus
Lineage: Eukaryota; Metazoa; Chordata; Actinopteri; Cyprinodontiformes; Goodeidae
Exons: 2
Source: RefSeq, a predicted model, not a curated record